Molecule: non-coding RNA, 148 nt
Filed under: Chlorocebus sabaeus (green monkey)
Lineage: Eukaryota; Metazoa; Chordata; Mammalia; Primates; Cercopithecidae
Source: Rfam by way of RNAcentral
GCCGGGCAUGGUGGCUCAUGCCUGUAAUCCCAGCUACUUGGGAGGCUGAGGCAGGAGAAUCGCUUGAACCCAGGAGGCAGAGGCUGUGGUGAGCCAAGAUGGCGCACUGCACUCCAGCCUGGGCAAUAAGAGCGAGACUCUGUCUCAA